This 443-nucleotide long non-coding RNA is filed under the name Vigna radiata. Its description in RNAcentral is "long non-coding RNA (VRAD_LNC004557)". Lineage: Eukaryota; Viridiplantae; Streptophyta; Magnoliopsida; Fabales; Fabaceae. The record is from RNAcentral.
GGAGGAGUCAUAGAAAUAACACAUUUUUUAUGUCACAUGCAACUAUGUUGCCAUAAUGAGCUCUUUUUACCUCUCAUAAAAUGUUUUGUGUACAAUAAUGCAACUUAAAUAGAAAACAUUUUCAUAGUAGAUGCCUAACAAUAGGGUUUGCUCUUUAAUCAUUGAUAGAGAAGUAUUGCAAUUGUGGCUAGCACAAGGGUGGUGGACAAUCUUGACUAAGAAACUAUUCCUCAUGUCGAGACCUGCAACAUUACUUAGAUAAGUAAGGAAGAAAAAUUCAUGUUAAUAAGUAAGUCCUAAUUAACUUCUCCACAGAAAUCUACCAAGAUUAAGUGUUUUGUGAUGUUGUUCCCAUGGAAGCCACACAUUUAAUACUUGGUACGCCAUGACAAUUUGAUAAACACACCCUACUUGGUGGCCAUACCAACAAGUUUUCAUUUCAC